CCGAGUGAGGGUCCUCGUGGCCCAACCUCCCACCCGUGACUACUGUACCACUGUUGCUUCGGCGGGCCCGCCAGCGUCCGCUGGCCGCCGGGGGGCUUCUGCCCCCGGGCCCGUGCCCGCCGGAGACCCCAACACGAACACUGUUUCUGAAAGCCUGUAUGAAUCCGAUUCUUUGUAAUCAGUUA
RNAcentral lists this unclassified non-coding RNA (185 nucleotides) under uncultured Aspergillus. Its description in RNAcentral is "sequence contains ITS1". The record is from RNAcentral. Lineage: Eukaryota; Fungi; Ascomycota; Eurotiomycetes; Eurotiales; Aspergillaceae.